GGGGAAUUAGCUCAGUUGGCUAGAGCGCUACACUGGCAGUGUAGAGGUCACCGGUUCGAAUCCGGUAUUCUCCA
Molecule: transfer RNA, 74 nt
Organism: Fulvivirga imtechensis AK7
Lineage: Bacteria; Pseudomonadati; Bacteroidota; Cytophagia; Cytophagales; Fulvivirgaceae
Rfam family: tRNA
About the family: Transfer RNA (tRNA) molecules are approximately 80 nucleotides in length. Their secondary structure includes four short double-helical elements and three loops (D, anti-codon, and T loops).
Source: Rfam